AAAUUGAAGAGUUUGAUCAUGGCUCAGAUUGAACGCUGGCGGCAGGCCUAACACAUGCAAGUCGAACGGUAACAGGAAGCAGCUUGCUGUUUUGCUGACGAGUGGCGGACGGGUGAGUAAUGUCUGGGAAACUGCCUGAUGGAGGGGGAUAACUACUGGAAACGGUAGCUAAUACCGCAUAACGUCGCAAGACCAAAGAGGGGGACCUUAGGGCCUCUUGCCAUCGGAUGUGCCCAGAUGGGAUUAGCUAGUAGGUGGGGUAACGGCUCACCUAGGCGACGAUCCCUAGCUGGUCUGAGAGGAUGACCAGCCACACUGGAACUGAGACACGGUCCAGACUCCUACGGGAGGCAGCAGUGGGGAAUAUUGCACAAUGGGCGCAAGCCUGAUGCAGCCAUGCCGCGUGUAUGAAGAAGGCCUUCGGGUUGUAAAGUACUUUCAGCGGGGAGGAAGGGAGUAAAGUUAAUACCUUUGCUCAUUGACGUUACCCGCAGAAGAAGCACCGGCUAACUCCGUGCCAGCAGCCGCGGUAAUACGGAGGGUGCAAGCGUUAAUCGGAAUUACUGGGCGUAAAGCGCACGCAGGCGGUUUGUUAAGUCAGAUGUGAAAUCCCCGGGCUCAACCUGGGAACUGCAUCUGAUACUGGCAAGCUUGAGUCUCGUAGAGGGGGGUAGAAUUCCGGUGUAGCGGUGAAAUGCGUAGAGAUCUGGAGGAAUACCGGUGGCGAAGGCGGCCCCCUGGACGAAGACUGACGCUCAGGUGCGAAAGCGUGGGGAGCAAACAGGAUUAGAUACCCUGGUAGUCCACGCCGUAAACGAUGUCGACUUGGAGGUUGUGCCCUUGAGGCGUGGCUUCCGGAGCUAACGCGUUAAGUCGACCGCCUGGGGAGUACGGCCGCAAGGUUAAAACUCAAAUGAAUUGACGGGGGCCCGCACAAGCGGUGGAGCAUGUGGUUUAAUUCGAUGCAACGCGAAGAACCUUACCUGGUCUUGACAUCCACGGAAGUUUUCAGAGAUGAGAAUGUGCCUUCGGGAACCGUGAGACAGGUGCUGCAUGGCUGUCGUCAGCUCGUGUUGUGAAAUGUUGGGUUAAGUCCCGCAACGAGCGCAACCCUUAUCCUUUGUUGCCAGCGGUCCGGCCGGGAACUCAAAGGAGACUGCCAGUGAUAAACUGGAGGAAGGUGGGGAUGACGUCAAGUCAUCAUGGCCCUUACGACCAGGGCUACACACGUGCUACAAUGGCGCAUACAAAGAGAAGCGACCUCGCGAGAGCAAGCGGACCUCAUAAAGUGCGUCGUAGUCCGGAUUGGAGUCUGCAACUCGACUCCAUGAAGUCGGAAUCGCUAGUAAUCGUGGAUCAGAAUGCCACGGUGAAUACGUUCCCGGGCCUUGUACACACCGCCCGUCACACCAUGGGAGUGGGUUGCAAAAGAAGUAGGUAGCUUAACCUUCGGGAGGGCGCUUACCACUUUGUGAUUCAUGACUGGGGUGAAGUCGUAACAAGGUAACCGUAGGGGAACCUGCGGUUGGAUCACCUCCUUA
This 1541-nucleotide ribosomal RNA is filed under the name Escherichia coli. RNAcentral describes it as "bacterial SSU rRNA". It matches the Rfam family "Bacterial small subunit ribosomal RNA". Lineage: Bacteria; Pseudomonadati; Pseudomonadota; Gammaproteobacteria; Enterobacterales; Enterobacteriaceae. The record is from RNAcentral.